Molecule: transfer RNA, 91 nt
Filed under: Plantactinospora mayteni
Lineage: Bacteria; Bacillati; Actinomycetota; Actinomycetes; Micromonosporales; Micromonosporaceae
Description: tRNA-Asp
Source: RNAcentral
CCGGCACCUGGAGGGGACCCGGUUCUCCAUCGGAGAGCCGGACGGCACUGUCUCGCAGCGGUGCCAGCGGUUCAGCGACGCGAUGGUGGCC